Long non-coding RNA from Alligator sinensis (Chinese alligator), 235 nucleotides. RefSeq lists it as uncharacterized. Lineage: Eukaryota; Metazoa; Chordata; Crocodylia; Alligatoridae. The transcript is spliced from 3 exons. The record is from RefSeq and is a predicted model, not a curated record.
CUGUCUCUCUGCAGGACAGCCCUUCUCAUUUUUUCAGCAGCCUAGCUUCAGCAAGACCUUUCCCCAUCACACACGCAGCCUGGUGGUUAGGGACUCUCCUAAGGAUUGAGCAACGUGGGUUUGAACCACCUAAGGGAAGGAGAAUCUAGAACUGAGAUCUUCUCUUGCUGGAUAGAACUGUGUGAACUCCAUAUAACAGAAGGCCAAGGAGUGAGCCCAGAGGAACACCAGCCAU